Molecule: long non-coding RNA, 351 nt
Organism: Gallus gallus (chicken)
Lineage: Eukaryota; Metazoa; Chordata; Aves; Galliformes; Phasianidae
Source: Ensembl
GGAUUCUGCAGAAAAAUGAGACCAUUACCCAACAGAAAAUACUUGGCUCUGGGAAGAGACAUGGAGGAAAUGUCUGACAGAUCUGUGUGACAGAGAGCAGCACUCCCUUGGUGAGGAAGGAGUGAUGGAUGUCCUCAUUGUGGCCAUUUUGGUUAAGGAGAAAUUGCUGUCUAACUGAUCUUUUGUGGACUUCUGACCAAAACCAUCCAGUGCAACAUAUGAGGACAGUUGGAAUGGGAAGAUAUAGCAUGGUUAACCAGAAUCCAGACUCAUCUGAGCUCCUUGGGCAUCUCCCACUGCAACAUUCAGGACCUGAGGUAUGUAUUUAUUUCUGGGAGCACAAACAUGGUG